This 1914-nucleotide long non-coding RNA is filed under the name Homo sapiens (human). RNAcentral describes it as "non-protein coding lnc-USP35-6:4". The record is from RNAcentral. Lineage: Eukaryota; Metazoa; Chordata; Mammalia; Primates; Hominidae.
AGUUCACUGGACUGGCAGAGGGAGCUUGGGAGGGCUUUUGCUGAUGCCACUUGUUCUUCUUGCCAUAAAGACGGUGUCUGACUUCCAGGCAACAAUGCACACAGAAGUUACAAGUGUGGAUACUAGAGUCAGAGCCUGGAUUCCAAUGCUGCUUCUUAACAGCUGUGUGACUUUCCACAAGUAAUGCAACAUCUCUGGGUCUCUGUUUCCUGUUCUGCAAAAUGGGGGUACUGUCUACUUGCCCCAGGGACCUGCUGUGCUGAGGAUCAUUCCCAGGAAGCACCUAGCACCAUGCUGGGUCCUGGCAAGCCACUGACAAAUGUUCACUGUCACAAUGGCCCUGCUUCCUCUGGUGCUCGGCACCAGGCUGACAUCGAGUACACAGUCAAUGAAGAAACAAGGAGACUCUGCAAGGAGAUACAUUAGGAUGAUGUACUGACAAAGCCUUGGGAAAACUGCUGGUGCCUUUGCUGGGGGGAAGAUUUCCAGAUGGAGCUCCUCAGGAUGGCCUGCCAAUCCAAUAAACUCAGGUUCCUAGAAAGCCUCCCCCACCCCACCCCACCCCCACUCUGUAAGCCCCACCCAAACCAGGACAGCAGCAAUUCUCCCCUUCCCCUGGUGUGCCUUCCCCGGUGGUCUGUUUCUUUAGGACAGGAACGCAGCUGUCUGGAAGGCACCCAGGGAAGCCAUUCCUUGGGACAUGUCCCCUGACCCACCCCCGGCAAGGCUGGGAUGACAGAAGGACAAACCCAGCCAAACAUAUGGACCCGUGGCCCAGGAUAGGCAACAGCUGGGCCACUGCCUGACUUUUCUUCUGCUCCUUGGAAUAUUCUGGCAAUGAGAAGACAUAGUCUCAGCAACUUAUAGACAUUUUCCCAGGAAAUCCUAACCGCUAAGGGAACAAUUUGCUCCAUUCUCACACAUUUCAAUCUACUUAUUUGGAAGACCAAUCCUUGCGUGGGCAUGCACGCACAUGCGCGCGCGCGCGCACACACACACACACACACACACACACACACACACCCUUCAUGUGGUCUUGUGUAGAAGUACACAAACCUGAUAAUAGCAACCACUAAUAUUUAGUAUAUGCUAAGUAAUAAAAGUAGCUACUAUAGUCAUCAUCUCAUAUAGUCCUCACAACAAGCAUUGAGACAGGGGCUCUAUCCACAUUUCACAGAUGAGGACACAGAGGUGGGCUGCCUUUCACAGAACAAGCUGCUAGCCAUGCUGGGGCUGGCGUCGGAGCCCAGGUCUAAGAACUCUGGUACAAGGAAUCCACUCCCUUUCCCGGAUUUGCCUCCUCCACCUGUGCUUAAGGAGUUAACCUUGUCGGAGAGGUUUUCUUUCCUUGGUUAUGUUUUCUAUUCUUUGGGUAAGUUUGACAAAGUGGGGUUCUUUUUCAUCGCCAGAGUCUGUGUCCCUGGAGGCUGAGGAAGGAACCAGAAGUUGCACUUUCCAACAUGGAUCGCCUGCUAAUUUUCCAAGGCAGCUCAGCCCCUGCCAGCGUCCCCUCCCUCCUUUGGGCUGAGGGCCCAGGAACCCAGCCUCAAAGUUCAGCUUGCUUCCUCCAGCACGCACAUUUGGAAAUUGAAAUUUCCCACAUUUUCACCACACAAAAGCCAGGUUGUAUUUUUGUUCUCUUCAAAAUAUGCCAAAGGAAUUUUUCCUACCCCUUGAACUUUCUCCAAAAAUAAGUAGAAAAAGUCAAGACCAUUUUGCCCUGUAAGCUGAGAAUAGAAAAAUCAACAUGCAGGGUGCCAUUUCCAGGAUGUUACGAAACAGCGAACAUGUGAAUCCGUCUCAACACCAUUUGGCAACUUUGGGGAUACAGUAGAUGAUAUUUCUCACCCACAAACUCCUCACUGAGUUUAUAUUAACAUUUUGCUUUUUUUUUUUAAAAAAAAAGAAAAAAGA